Molecule: ribosomal RNA, 492 nt
Filed under: uncultured bacterium
Lineage: Bacteria
Description: partial 16S ribosomal RNA
Rfam family: Bacterial small subunit ribosomal RNA
Source: RNAcentral
AGUGAACGCUGGCGGUAGGCCUAACACAUGCAAGUCGAACGGCAGCACAGUAAGAGCUUGCUCUUACGGGUGGCGAGUGGCGGACGGGUGAGGAAUACAUCGGAAUCUACUUUUUCGUGGGGGAUAACGUAGGGAAACUUACGCUAAUACCGCAUACGCCCUACGGGUGAAAGCAGGGGAGCUUCGGACCUUGCGCGAUUGACUGAGCCGAUGUCGGAUUAGCUAGUUGGCGGGGUAAAGGCCCACCAAGGCGACGAUCCGUAGCUGGUCUGAGAGGAUGAUCAGCCACACUGGAACUGAGACACGGUCCAGACUCCUACGGGAGGCAGCAGUGGGGAAUAUUGGACAAUGGGCGCAAGCCUGAUCCAGCCAUACCGCGUGGGUGAAGAAGGCCUUCGGGUUGUAAAGCCCUUUUGUUGGGAAAGAAAAGCAGCAGGUUAAUACCCCGCUGUUCUGACGGUACCCAAAGAAUAAGCACCGGCUAACUUCGUG